GUAUUUCCUUUUCAACCGUGGAAAUACUUACACUCACUGUAGUGGUAGUUUCUGUAGCUGUUGUAAUGAGCGUUGGGGUUAAACACAGUUGGUCUUUUAAAACAGUUGGUGAUUCGUGUGUUAGAUUAUUUUGUUUUUUAUUUACAUUAAAAAUAUCAUAAUAUGUAGUACUUUUAGACAUUUCAUUAUUUAUUAUUAUUUUAUUAUUAAGGCUCACCAACGAUUAAAGAAUAUUUUAAAAAUACGAGAUAUAAAAAUAUAAAAUAAUUAGGGAGUACCUAACCAGUAGCUACUAUUAAAACAGAUUAACACAUUAGUUAUAACGGCGGCGGCGGCGGCGGCGGUGGACUUGUUUACAGUGCGACGCGUGUUACGUCGUGUGGGACUAUGCUGCGGACUGGUAACUGACGGUUUAAUUUUUCUGAUAUAUAUAGAUGCGAGAUAACGCUCUCGAUUGUCCUCGAAUAAUCUUAAAUAUAUUAUAACGUUAUCGAUUAUAUAAUGUUUCUCGAAGGUUCUCGAUAAGCACUAACGUACGGGAACAUUCGCGAAUAAGUACUGUACAAUUAGUAAAUAUAUAAUAUAUCAUAUUAUAUUUUCACAUAAGACGACAAAAUUUUGGGGGACUAAGUCCCCCCCCAAGCCCCCCCCCCCCCAUUUCCGCCUAUGACUAUUCAACUACAUUAAGUUAAUUAGCAGCUGGAGUCGCUGUUAAUUAUUCUUUCGGACCAUCCAUCCAAGCCGUCUACACACAAGAGAACUGUGAGUCGAUAAAGAAAUUAUUGUAAACCUUUUUCCUGAUAUAUGUUUUUUCAAUUGUCAAAUCACUUCGUGAUAUAAUUUAUCCAAAAAAGAAAAUAUUGUCAUCUUGAAUAUUAAAUAUUUUACUGUAUUUUCAAUAAACAGAUAAUAAUAAUUUAUAUUUGAACCAAAAACUUUGUGUCGCAUUCUUUUAUUAUUAUUUCAAUCUACACAAUGUAUUUUUCAUAACGUCUAGCAGAUAUAUAUUAAAAGAUGUUACAAGCCAUCUAAUUGUAAUGCGUACAAUAGACUGUAGAAGGAUAGACGUUUAGUAUACCUAAAAUAGAUUAUGUGUGUUUACUGGGUUAUUUUUUAAUUUAAUUUAGUAAUUGUACACAUAAUUAUUUGUUAAAUAUUUUAUUUAAUUAAGCAAAUAUGUAGUAUUAUAUAGACACAUUACAGUCUCCCUUAAAAAAAAUAAUAAAAUAAUAUUUUUACUAUUUACUGAAUAAAUAGUUUAAUGUUUUAGAUACUUGAUCCUCCUUUGAAUGUUCAACGAAAUUAAAUUGAAAAUACAACUGGUGCAAGCAUGUAGUCAUUGCAGUCUAUACCUGAUGAUACUACAUUGAGUGUUGGACCAAAUGAAAUUUAAAAUAUGCAGUUAUGUAAGACUGCAAGUCUUCAUUACAAAUGGAAAAUGAAAUGUUGAGAAAGGAAAACGACUGUUUAAAAGAGCAAAUGAGCAGUUUCUUAAAUAUCUAGA
This is a long non-coding RNA of Acyrthosiphon pisum (pea aphid), 1504 nucleotides long. RefSeq lists it as uncharacterized. Lineage: Eukaryota; Metazoa; Arthropoda; Insecta; Hemiptera; Aphididae. The transcript is spliced from 3 exons. The record is from RefSeq and is a predicted model, not a curated record.